GACCCCUUAGCUCAGUGGUAGAGCGUGUGAUUCCAGCCAAUGCGGGUCCACAAGGUCGUGCGUUCAACUCGCUCAGGGGUCA
RNAcentral lists this transfer RNA (82 nucleotides) under Armillaria gallica. It matches the Rfam family "tRNA". From Rfam's summary of the family: Transfer RNA (tRNA) molecules are approximately 80 nucleotides in length. Their secondary structure includes four short double-helical elements and three loops (D, anti-codon, and T loops). Further hydrogen bonds mediate the characteristic L-shaped molecular structure. tRNAs have two regions of fundamental functional importance: the anti-codon, which is responsible for specific mRNA codon recognition, and the 3' end, to which the tRNAs corresponding amino acid is attached (by aminoacyl-tRNA synthetases). tRNAs cope with the degeneracy of the genetic code in two manners: having more than one tRNA (with a specific anti-codon) for a particular amino acid; and 'wobble' base-pairing, i.e. permitting non-standard base-pairing at the 3rd anti-codon position. Lineage: Eukaryota; Fungi; Basidiomycota; Agaricomycetes; Agaricales; Physalacriaceae. The record is from Rfam by way of RNAcentral.